GUCAUUUUCAAAACCCAUCUUGGACACGAUCUGGCCGCGUCUCAAAACAUAGUAAGCUGCCUAACGUUACCUAUAAAAGCAGUUUGAAACCUCAAUGCGCGUUCCGAUUGUAUUGUGAACAGGCAGCUUACUGUUUUGAGUUAAAGCCGGAGAAGGGUCUGUCUGCAGCCCUUGCAAAGCCGAGUGUGCCUGCACACACCGCCUCUCUCCAACGGAUGCCCGCGCCCUGUCAAUCUAUCUCACAGCAGAGAGCGGACGGGGAGAAACCGAAACAGAGCGGGUCCGCGGGGGGAAGAGGCGCAUGAAAACAUCCAUGGGUGGCUGUGUGGGCAGUCAUCAUGAUUCUUCAGGCAGUUUAAACGAAAACUCGGACGGAACCGGAGUUGCUCUGGGGCGAAACCAGCCCCUGAAGAGAGAGAAGCCCAAAUGGAAGAGCGACUACCCAAUGACCGAUGGGCAGCUGCGCAGCAAGCGUGAUGAAUUCUGGGAUACAGCACCAGCUUUUGAAGGCCGCAAGGAAAUUUGGGAUGCACUUAAGGCGGCUGCCCAGGCCUUUGAAAGCAAUGACCAUGAGCUUGCUCAAGCCAUAAUUGAUGGUGCCAGCAUAACAUUACCACAUGGUGCUCUGACUGAAUGCUAUGAUGAGCUGGGGAACCGCUACCAGCUGCCUGUCUACUGCCUCUCGUCUCCUGUCAACAUGAUUGAGGAAAAAAGCGAGUUGGAGACCAUUGAGAUCCCAGAAGCUCUAGCUAGCGAAGGCCAGGAGUGUCAGUUGCGUCUGCGUCUCUCCACGGGACGAGAUCUACGCCUGGCCGUCUGCACGAAUGACAAUGUCCAGCAGAUGAAGCACCGUCUACAGACCCAGGAGGGUGUAGUGGCCACCAGUCAGCGCUGGUUCUUCUCAGGCCGACCACUCACUGACAAGAUGAAGCUGGAAGAACUGAAGAUCUCCAGAGAGUAUGUCGUCCAGGUGAUCAUCAGUCAGCCUCCCACAACCCCACCACUGCAGCAGAACCCCACUCCUGUGGAAAACUAAUGACUCAUUGGGGAUAUUAACCAGCACACCAAGUGUGUAUGUGAGAGGAUAUAAAUGUGCAUUGGCCACAAGAUUUUUCAGAAGAUUUCUCUAUUUUUGGAUUGGCCAUUUGAGUCUAGAGUCAACCUCUAGAGGCUUUUCCCUUCAAACACUCACUGCCUUUGACUUCUAGCUUUUUUAAGGGAGUUGAGACUCAGAUAUUCUGUUUAAAAGUCUCAGGUCUAGAAAACCAGAGUCCUGAAUUAAUCAAGAGAGGUCCAAAAAGUAUGGUUUUGGCAGAGGAAACUUAAUAAUGCUAUGUUAUUUUUAAGAUUAUGGAGUUAUAAGCUUCAUAUUCUUUUCUCCAUUUUUCUUGUGAUGAGAUCACAUGUCUGCAAAGCAGACCUGAAGUAUGGACCUACCUGUUUCUGUUAGAACUUGAAUUAUAAAACAGAGACAAUUGGGGUCAAAAGUACAUUUUAAAGUGCUAUUGGCUUUCAGAUACAUUUUCAAUUACAUAAAUUCUCUAAACAGCAUUCAUUCAACUCUCAUUUCAAAAGAGGGUAAGUUUAUUAGUCAUGUAGACAAGUAAAUCAGCUUUUUGACUUUUGCCUCUUUUUUUAAAUGUGCUUUUAGUGGAGGUGGUAGGUGUCACAUUUUGCAGAUAGAUUUCAGUCUAGACAGAUUUAAAAGCUCUGAAAGGUUGCCAUGUUGCUACGCAUCGUUCCACUAAUCCUGAGGAUAUAUAAGGGUGAUAAGGGGGUCAUCAUGUAAUAAUUGUGUGUAUACAGUACAUGUGAAUGGGGAAGCU
Carassius carassius (crucian carp) is the source of this 1826-nucleotide RNA transcript. It is a transcript of the gene named ubiquitin domain containing 2, with no coding region annotated. The record is from RefSeq and is a predicted model, not a curated record. The transcript is spliced from 4 exons. Lineage: Eukaryota; Metazoa; Chordata; Actinopteri; Cypriniformes; Cyprinidae.